AGUCGUAACAAGGUAUCCGUAGGUGAACCUGCGGAUGGAUCAUUAUAGGUUAUUUUGAAUGUUGUGUGAACAGUGUGGUUGCAGGUUGUGGUGGGUAUGUGAUAUGUGAUAUAUUAUAUGGUAUAUUAUAUGAUAUGGUAUAUAUUAUAUAAUAUCAUCCACCUUGACAACAUUGACGUACAUUAGUGCUGAAUAUCAUUAUAUUGAAAUAUAAACAACUUUCAGCAAUGGAUCUCUUGGCUCUC
Molecule: unclassified non-coding RNA, 245 nt
Filed under: fungal sp.
Lineage: Eukaryota; Fungi
Description: partial internal transcribed spacer region
Rfam family: Eukaryotic small subunit ribosomal RNA (bases 1-45)
Source: RNAcentral